CUCAAAUAUCCGAAAUCUGUGGUCGAAAUGAACAGGACACAAAGUUAUCUGCAUAGAUCAACAAUGACGGACAAGCAUAUUUUAGAUUAAUAUCCCUUCAUAAUCAGAAACUGUCUGAACAUUAAAGCUGCGGUACCCCUUUCUGUUAACAUAAUAUAUUUCGUCUUUUAAUGACACCCGAGUCGGCACGUGUGUAAAAUAAUUUUACCACCACACAUUUGAAAAAUUUAACAUAAAGAAGAC
Molecule: long non-coding RNA, 243 nt
Filed under: Mytilus galloprovincialis (Mediterranean mussel)
Lineage: Eukaryota; Metazoa; Mollusca; Bivalvia; Mytilida; Mytilidae
Source: RNAcentral